AUGUUCCAAGGGCAAAGUGGCAGUGAGACACACACAAUACCACCUGAACCUGAGAGAGCUCCUAACACAGAGUCCCCAAUAGCAGAAGAUGAUGAUGAAUCUUUGACUGUAGAUGGAUCUGAUUCUAUAGAUGAGGACAGUGAUGAUGAUAUUUAUGACAUCGUGCCUGAUCCUGGGUUGAGGACUCCUAUCUCAAGCUAUGAUGUUAAUGACCAAGAUUCGGUUAGAAGGGCCUACAUUGCAUUGGGACGAUGUAAACCAAAGAUGGAGAAGAAAGAUUUUCCGCAACAUAACUGCGGAGGUAAGCGUCGCUUCCAACCGGUUUGGUUUGAUGAGUACAAGUGGCUUGAGUAUAGUGUGGAUAAAGAUGCGGCAUAUUGUUUUGUUUGCUAUUUGUUCAAUAGUAUAGUGUGGAACAUGAACGCGAGAUUUCGUAAGCAUGUUGGUGAGGUCAAUAGUGCUCAUUGUGAAGCCGAAGAGAAAUAUAAUUUGUUCAUCAAACCUAAAGCAUCAAUCCGUGAGGCAAUGGCCUCACAAACCACACAGUACAAGGCUCAAUAUCUAGCUCGGUUGAAAUGGUCACUUGAGUGCAUAAAAUUUAUUUUGCAUCAGGGGUUGGCUUUUCGUGGUCAUGAUGAGGGAAAGGAUUCAAAAAAUAAAGGAAAUUUUUGA
Molecule: ribosomal RNA, 672 nt
Filed under: Triticum aestivum (bread wheat)
Lineage: Eukaryota; Viridiplantae; Streptophyta; Magnoliopsida; Poales; Poaceae
Description: partial small subunit ribosomal RNA
Source: RNAcentral